UAUCAAUAAGCGGAGGAAAAGAAACCAACAGGGAUUGCCUUAGUAACUGCGAGUGAAGCGGCAAGAGCUCAAAUUUGAAAUCCAGCUUUUGUUGGAAUUGUAAUUUGUAGAAGCAUCUUUUGAUAGGUAUCUGCAUACGUUCCUUGGAAUAGGACAUCAUAGAGGGUGAGAAUCCCGUUCAUGGUGGCAUACCGAUUCUUUGUAAGUUGCUUUCGACGAGUCGAGUUGUUUGGGAAUGCAGCUCUAAGUGGGUGGUAAAUUCCAUCUAAAGCUAAAUAUUGGCGAGAGACCGAUAGCGAACAAGUACAGUGAUGGAAAGAUGAAAAGUACUCCGAAAGGAGAGUGAAAUAGGACGUGAAAUUGUUAAAAGGGAAGUGCUUGAGAUCAGUCUGGGUAGUAGUGAUCAUCUGUGCUUUUGUGCGGUGCACUUGCUAUUUCCCCGGCCAGCAUCAGUUUGUGAUUGUGGAUAAUUGCAUUGGAAUGUGGCUCUUUCGGGAGUGUUAUAGCCUUUGUCGAUACACGAUUGCAGACUGAGGCCUGCGAUUCUAGGAUGUUGGCGUAAUGAUCUUAAGCAGCCCGUCUUGAAACACGGACCAAGGAGUCUAACAACUAUGCGAGUGUUUGGGUGUUAAACCCGUACGCGUAAUGAAAGUGAACGUAGAUGGGAACUUUUUGUGCACCAUCGACCGAUCCAGAUGUUCUCGGAUGGAUUUGAGUAUUAGCAUAGCUGUUGGGACCCGAAAGAUGGUGAACUAUGCCUGAAUA
Molecule: ribosomal RNA, 765 nt
Filed under: Lipomyces sp.
Lineage: Eukaryota; Fungi; Ascomycota; Lipomycetes; Lipomycetales; Lipomycetaceae
Description: eukaryotic LSU rRNA
Rfam family: Eukaryotic large subunit ribosomal RNA
Source: RNAcentral